CCUACGGGAGGCAGCAGUGGGGGAUAUUGGACAAUGGGGGGAACCCUGAUCCAGCGACGCCGCGUGCGUGAAGACGUCUUUCGGUAUGUAAAGCUCUGUUAGUAGGGAAGAAAGCAAUGACGGUACUUGACCAAGACGCCUCGGCUAACGACGUGCCAGCAGCCGCGGUAAUACGUAGGGGGCAAGCGUUAUCCGGAAUUAAUGGGUGUAAAGGGAGCGUAGGCGGCUGGGCAAGUUUGGAGGGAAGGGCGGGGGCCCAACCCCCGGACGGCUCUGGAAACUGUAUGGCUGGAGUGCAGGAGAGGUAAGCGGAAUUCCGAGUGUAGCGGUGAAAUGCGUAGAUAUUAGGAGGAACACCAGUGGCGAAGGCGGCUUACUGGACUGUAACUGACGUUGAGGCUCGAAAGCGUGGGGAGCAAACAGGAUUAGAUACCCUAGUAGUC
RNAcentral lists this ribosomal RNA (443 nucleotides) under uncultured bacterium. RNAcentral's name for it is "partial 16S ribosomal RNA". It matches the Rfam family "Bacterial small subunit ribosomal RNA", at positions 338 to 795 of the family's 1533-position model. The record is from RNAcentral.